CACAGGUGCUGCAUGGCUGUCGUCAGCUCGUGUCGUGAGAUGUUGGGUUAAGUCCCGCAACGAGCGCAACCCUUGUCAUUAGUUGCUACGAAAGGGCACUCUAAUGAGGACUGCCGGUGACAAACCGGAGGAAGGUGGGGAUGACGUCAAGUCCUCAUGGCCCUUAUAGGUGGGGCUACACACGUCAUACAAUGGCCGGUACAAAGGGUCGCAAACCCGCGAGGGGGAGCCAAUCCAUCAAAGCCGGUCGUAGUCCGGAUCGCAGUCUGCAACUCGACUGCGUGAAGUCGGAAUCGCUAGUAGUCGUGGAUCAGCAUGUCACGGUGAAUACGUUCCCGGGUCUU
Molecule: ribosomal RNA, 344 nt
Filed under: uncultured Hydrogenophaga sp.
Lineage: Bacteria; Pseudomonadati; Pseudomonadota; Betaproteobacteria; Burkholderiales; Comamonadaceae
Description: bacterial SSU rRNA
Rfam family: Bacterial small subunit ribosomal RNA
Source: RNAcentral